This 253-nucleotide ribosomal RNA is filed under the name uncultured bacterium. RNAcentral's name for it is "partial 16S ribosomal RNA". It matches the Rfam family "Bacterial small subunit ribosomal RNA", at positions 524 to 776 of the family's 1533-position model. The record is from RNAcentral.
UACAUGUGGGGCAAGCGUUGCUCGGAAUUACUGGGCAUAAAGGGUGCGUAGGCGGUUUGUCGCGUCGGCUGUGAAAACUCGGGGCUCAACCCCGAGCCUGCAGUCGAUACGGGCAGACUAGAGUGCGGUAGGGGAGACUGGAAUUCCUGGUGUAGCGGUGAAAUGCGCAGAUAUCAGGAGGAACACCGGUGGCGAAGGCGGGUCUCUGGGCCGAUACUGACGCUGAGGAGCGAAAGCGUGGGGAGCGAACAGG